RNAcentral lists this transfer RNA (86 nucleotides) under Methanorbis furvi. RNAcentral describes it as "tRNA-Leu". It matches the Rfam family "tRNA". Rfam says of the family: Transfer RNA (tRNA) molecules are approximately 80 nucleotides in length. Their secondary structure includes four short double-helical elements and three loops (D, anti-codon, and T loops). The record is from RNAcentral. RNAcentral also lists the same sequence under 1 other name. Lineage: Archaea; Methanobacteriati; Methanobacteriota; Methanomicrobia; Methanomicrobiales; Methanocorpusculaceae.
GCGAAGGUAGCCAAGCCAGGUCAACGGCGAUAGAUUCAGGGUCUAUUCUCAUAGGAGUUCUGGGGUUCGAAUCCCUUCCUUCGCAC